Molecule: ribosomal RNA, 468 nt
Filed under: uncultured bacterium
Lineage: Bacteria
Description: partial 16S ribosomal RNA
Rfam family: Bacterial small subunit ribosomal RNA
Source: RNAcentral
GACGAACGCUGGCGGCGUGCUUAACACAUGCAAGUCGAACGGAAAGGCCCUGCUUUUGUGGGGUGCUCGAGUGGCGAACGGGUGAGUAACACGUGAGUAACCUGCCCUUGACUUUGGGAUAACUUCAGGAAACUGGGGCUAAUACCGGAUAGGAGCUCCUGCUGCAUGGUGGGGGUUGGAAAGUUUCGGCGGUUGGGGAUGGACUCGCGGCUUAUCAGCUUGUUGGUGGGGUAGUGGCUUACCAAGGCUUUGACGGGUAGCCGGCCUGAGAGGGUGACCGGCGACAUUGGGACUGAGAGACGGACCAGUCUCCUACGGGAGGCAGCAGUGGGGAAUAUUGCACAAUGGGCGGAAGCCUGAUGCGGCAACGCCGCGUGCGGGAUGACGGCCUUCGGGUUGUAAACCGCUUUCGCCUGUGACGAAGCGUGAGUGACGGUAAUGGGUAAAGAAGCACCGGCUAACUACGUG